AUGAUGAGGUCCAAGCCUGUCCGGGGCCGGGUGCUGAUGGUACCGACGAGCCUCAGGAGGAUGAAGGCAGGCUGCACCCUUGCCACCUCCCGACGGCUUUGUGAGCCUGGAGGAUUCGGUCAAGGCGUUCAUGUGCAGACGUUCCCAUGGCUCCGUUUCCCACUCCUGGAGCACUCCAAAUCCAGCUGCAGGGGAGCAGCAGCCCCCAAGGCGCUCACACACUGCUGUCUUUCAGAACACGUCUCCUUGCGCACCAAGACCUCUGCUGGUGUCCACACCAGCUGGCAGCAUCCAUGUGCCGGAGCAUCCAAAGCAAAGUGCUGCACUGGGAAUCCAACAUUCCUUCACACCAAUUCCAUUUGCACCACUUUUGCGUGGCUGCUACUCUCCAGGCAGGAUGUUGCCAACCCCAUUUGCAGGUAUUUUGUGUAUGUCCCAUUAUUCGGGGGGAUGAACGCCCUGCUCCCCGGGCUGGCCGCACGGCACCCCGACCCCACAGCAGCCCCAUUGCUGCGCACAGACGGGCCAGCAGUGACUGCUGCAGAUGGCUGCGUUGUGCUGGGGACUGAAGGCUGCUGUUUCCAUGGCAGCAAUUCGACGACUCCACUUGUUAGCAACCCUACUAUUAAAAUGCAAACAAAAAUAAACCAGGAGAGUGACUUUUCCUUUCCCACUCUUUGGCCUUUGGGGGGGGCGUACACCCUCUGGGCCCUGCUGGAAACCUCAGGUUGCCACUGUGGCUUUUCCCACCCGCUUUUCCCAGUUUCCAGCUCAUGCUGGCACUGCACAAAAAGCAGGGCAAUGUUAGGGUGCUGCACAGCUUUUGGGGCCCUGCAGGUCGGCUCGGGCCAACCCCGCUGCUGUCAGCCCCAUUUAGCAGGCUGGUCCCGGGGCCGGGAGCCAGCGGCCCCACUGGUAUCAGGGUGCCCAGGAAGGAAAACCAAGGCCCUUCAUGGAGAUAGAAAGCCCACUCCCUAUGUCCUCUCCUUGCUUAGUGAAACAAUGGUAUUUCUGGCCAUUAAUUCCCCAUUAAAAAAAAAGUUAGAAGAAAAAGGAAAAAAGGCUGGUUCUUUAUCCAGAGCUGUUCAAAGACAGGAGAACAGGCUGGAGCCCACAGGUGGUUCCCAAGCCCUUUCUGACGAUCACACGCUUGAUUAG
Molecule: long non-coding RNA, 1158 nt
Organism: Anser brachyrhynchus (Pink-footed goose)
Lineage: Eukaryota; Metazoa; Chordata; Aves; Anseriformes; Anatidae
Source: Ensembl